This 848-nucleotide ribosomal RNA is filed under the name Orcula sp. AL1393. Its description in RNAcentral is "partial 16S ribosomal RNA". RNAcentral also lists the same sequence under 1 other name. The record is from RNAcentral. Lineage: Eukaryota; Metazoa; Mollusca; Gastropoda; Stylommatophora; Orculidae.
UAUGUUUGUUUAUAUUUGUUUUCCCGAAAUAAAAAGAUCUGAGUUCCUAUUAUAUUUUAGUAUUAAUAUAUUUAAUGUAGCACUAUUAAAUAAAAUAGAAAUUCAGGUGUGAAAUACUUAUCAAUUUUUCUGAUAUCUGGAAUAUAUUGAAAUGAAUUUAGUUCAUUAAUUAAUCAAUAAGUUAUAAGAUUUAUUGAAUAUAGCUAUUAAAUAAUUUAAAAAAAUGAAGAAUAUCUUCAGAUUUAACACUAAGACUACGAUUAAUUUUUAUUUACACCUAUUUAUUAUAUAUAUAUUAUAUAGGAUAUUUAAAUAUAAUUAAUAAUGUUAAAAUUAGUAAGUAUAUAUAAAUUUUUGAAAGGAACUCGGCAAAUAAAAGUUUCAACUAGUUUAUCAAAAACAUAGCUUAUAGUUACUAUUAUAAGUGCAAUCUGCCCAGUGAAGAUUUUAACGGCCGCAGUACAUUGACUGUGCUAAGGUAGCAUAAUAAAUUGACUUUUAAUUGAAGUCGGGUAUGAAAGGAUCCAUGGAGCUUACCUGUCUCUUAGUAAAAUAUUAUUUAAGUUACUUAAAAAGUGCAAAUUCUUUUAUUUAAUUAGGUAAGACGAGAAGACCCUAAGAAUUAAUAUUAAUAAUAAUAAUUUAAAUUAUAUAUAUGUUUGUUGGGGCAACAAAGUUGGAUAACCACCUAUAAUUAAAAUAUUAACAUAUAUAUUGUAAUAAAUAAGUUUAAUUACCUUAGGGAUAACAGCAUAAUUAUAAAUAUAGAUUGUGACCUCGAUGUUGGACUAAGGACUAUAAUAAAUAGCCUUUAUUAUAGCUAGUUCUGUUCGAACUAUUAUACCUUA